Catharus ustulatus (Swainson's thrush) is the source of this 198-nucleotide long non-coding RNA. RefSeq lists it as uncharacterized. Lineage: Eukaryota; Metazoa; Chordata; Aves; Passeriformes; Turdidae. The transcript has 3 exons. The record is from RefSeq and is a predicted model, not a curated record.
GGGGCCCCCGGGCGGCGGGGGGGGCUCUGCUGCUGCUGGCAGGUCUCUGUGCCGCGGGCGCCGCGCUCUGGUUCGGCCUCGGCUGCGCCGGGGAAUUCUUCGACCCCAACACCGUGGGGGUCAGGUUCGAGCCGGGCCCCGCCGUGCUGGAGGCGGGUGGGGGAGGGGCGCUGCAGGCCCUGGGGGGAGGGGCGCUGC